UACGUAGGUGGCGAGCGUUGUCCGGAUUUACUGGGCGUAAAGAGCGCGCAGGCGGUCGUGCAAGUCGCGUGUGAAAGCCCCCGGCUCAACUGGGGAGGGUCACGCGAUACUGCUCGACUCGAAGGCAGGAGAGGGAAGUGGAAUUCCCGGUGUAGUGGUGAAAUGCGUAGAUAUCGGGAGGAACACCGGUGGCGAAGGCGGCCCUCUGGACGGUGACUGACGCUGAGACGCGAAAGCGUGGGGAGCAAACAGG
RNAcentral lists this ribosomal RNA (253 nucleotides) under uncultured bacterium. RNAcentral describes it as "partial 16S ribosomal RNA". It matches the Rfam family "Bacterial small subunit ribosomal RNA", at positions 524 to 776 of the family's 1533-position model. The record is from RNAcentral.